RNAcentral lists this ribosomal RNA (313 nucleotides) under uncultured bacterium. Its description in RNAcentral is "bacterial SSU rRNA". It matches the Rfam family "Bacterial small subunit ribosomal RNA", at positions 28 to 339 of the family's 1533-position model. The record is from RNAcentral.
GAUUAACGCUAGCGGCAGGCCUAAUACAUGCAAGUCGAACGGGAUUAUUGGUAGCAAUACUGAUAUGAGAGUGGCGCACGGGUGCGUAACGCGUAUGCAACCUACCUUUAACUGGGGGAUAGCCUUCCGAAAGGAAGAUUAAUACCGCAUAACACAGUGAAGUGGCAUCACUUUAUUGUCAAAACUCCGGUGGUUAAAGAUGGGCAUGCGUAAUAUUAGCUAGUUGGUGAGGUAAUGGCUCACCAAGGCUACGAUAUUUAGGGGGUCUGAGAGGAUGAUCCCCACACUGGUACUGAGACACGGACCAGACUCC